AGAGUUAUAUUUAAAUAUAAUAUUUAAUUUGCAAUUAAAAGGUGCUAACUAGCUAACUUUA
Molecule: transfer RNA, 61 nt
Filed under: Jacobiasca formosana
Lineage: Eukaryota; Metazoa; Arthropoda; Insecta; Hemiptera; Cicadellidae
Description: tRNA-Ala
Source: RNAcentral